This 39-nucleotide ribosomal RNA is filed under the name Reaumuria songarica. Its description in RNAcentral is "Hololachna songarica partial 28S ribosomal RNA". Lineage: Eukaryota; Viridiplantae; Streptophyta; Magnoliopsida; Caryophyllales; Tamaricaceae. The record is from RNAcentral.
CCCCAGGUCAGGCGGGACUACCCGCUGAGUUUAAGCAUA